AGAGUUUGAUCCUGGCUCAGAACGAACGCUGGCGGCAUGCCUAACACAUGCAAGUCGAACGAAGGCUUCGGCCUUAGUGGCGCACGGGUGAGUAACGCGUGGGAAUCUGCCUAUCAGUGGGGAAUAACGACGGGAAACUGUCGCUAAUACCGCAUACGCCCUUAGGGGGAAAGAUUUAUCGCUGAUAGAUGAGCCCGCGU
RNAcentral lists this ribosomal RNA (200 nucleotides) under uncultured bacterium. RNAcentral describes it as "partial 16S ribosomal RNA". It matches the Rfam family "Bacterial small subunit ribosomal RNA", at positions 8 to 236 of the family's 1533-position model. The record is from RNAcentral.